Pimephales promelas (fathead minnow) is the source of this 636-nucleotide non-coding RNA. NCBI's taxonomy places the organism in Eukaryota, Metazoa, Chordata, Actinopteri, Cypriniformes, Leuciscidae. The record is from RefSeq and is a predicted model, not a curated record.
CAUCCAUCCUUGAACGUCCUAUUCACAAAUUAGUGGUACUUGUAGAAAACAAUUAAAUCUUAAGCAAUGGAACUAAUCUCUUUCUCCAACACAAGUUGGUAGUUUGAAGUAUUAAGAGUUUAAAUAUUAGUCUUGAUGCCAAGAGUCAGAGAACAUUCUAUAUGGUUCUGAAAUUUGUUUUGUGAAAUUACUAAAUUUAUUCAAACUUGUGUACAAGUUCAUUAUAAAUUAUGGUAAUUUGGUGGGAGUGUAACUGUCUAAGGACAAGUAUUUGUUGAGAUGUGUAUUUGUUUCUUUUUAUAAAUUGAUGUAAAUUUGAGUUCAUUUAAAUACAAUUGUGAUAUUCAGAAGCGGAUAUUUAAAAUGUAUGUAAAAUGCCUUAGGCGUUUUAAAGUUAGGGGUUCUUUAAGGAGGAUUUACGUAGAAAACGUGAUGUCACAUGACCCGGUUCAGUUUGUAGCGGUUCUGCGUCACUUUGGGUCAGAACGAACAUGAAUGCAGAGAAAUGACAUGUGGUCUGAAAAGAGUUGCUUAAUCUGCAUGGUUUGAGAGGCGCACACGUUUUCACGGUGUCUAUGGUGUCAACUGAAGAGAGAGAGAGAGAGAUAUGUACGAAAUAAACGACAAAGACAUCUG